This is a long non-coding RNA of Equus caballus (horse), 1049 nucleotides long. Lineage: Eukaryota; Metazoa; Chordata; Mammalia; Perissodactyla; Equidae. The record is from Ensembl.
UCCGCCCCCAGCGUCUGCUCUGGGCCUGGGAGACCCCAUCACCCCCGCCCCCACCCCACAUAGCCCCAUUGUGAGUCCGUGUAGCUGGCCUUGUCUGUUGACUUCUCUCCAUCCCGGGGCGGGGGGGGGGGGGGGGGGGGGCCGGUUCAGGUGCCUGGGGUGGAGGGUGGAGGGGUGAGGCGGUGCGGGGCUCGGAGACCAGCCUCAGAGCUCCCCAGGCUCCUUAGACCCACUCAAGAACUUGCCAGUAAAAUGAGGGACAAUGUGCAUAUUGGAAAAUUCAAGUCCAGGCAGGUGGGCUAUAUGCAUGUUCCAGGCUGCUGUUUGCCGUGGCCCUGGAGGACCUCACUGGAGAACAAAUAUUGAUGCUUUGUUAGCGCACACAGACAUUCUCGGCAAUGCUGAUUAGCGCUUGGGGCUGAUCCGACCAAGGUCAGGGGCUUGUGCCCCCUCAAACUGCACCCAUUAGCUUCUCUUAGAGAAGCCCGGAGACGACACGCCUGGCGGUGGGAGGGGGCUUUCCAGUCCACCAGCAUGGACCCGAAUGCUCAGGCCUCCCUGCCUCUAAGGCUUUCACCUUCCAUGGCUUCAGAGGAUCGCAUGAGGUCAACACCAGCUAAGACGUGUGAAGCCCUUGACACAGAGCUCAGCAGAGACAGGAUGCUCAGUCCAUGGGAGCCAUGAUGAUGAUAAUGAUUAUUAACAUGUUCCCAAGGUGGCCUUCGUCUGCUAAGCGUCUUUUCAACUCUCUUUUUUCGACGGACGACAACGGGGUUCUCCCGAAGGUGUUCUGCCAUUCACAGACUCAUUACUCGCUCCCUUUGCAUUUUGAGAGGUGACUUGUGCAAGCCCUGACGUUUUCCUUUAGGGAGCCCUGAUGGUCCUCUGUGCCCUCAUUGUGCCCAACCAGCAGCACCGGGCGCCCUCACGAUGGCCUUCACCCGAGCCAGGCUUCAUUCAGAGAGCAGCCUCCAGACUUCAUCAUGGGGGGAGAAACAGCUCACUACUUAAAAAAAUUAAAACAGUCAGUCAUCAGGCUGAAAUAAAAC